GGUUAAGGACCCAGACCCUACUGAACAAGCCUGAUCCCGUCUGAUCUUGGAAGCUAAGCAGGGUCGGACCUGGUUAGUACUUGGAUGGGAGACGACCUAGGAAGAUCAGGAGCUAUAGACA
This is a ribosomal RNA of Pteropus vampyrus (large flying fox), 121 nucleotides long. NCBI's taxonomy places the organism in Eukaryota, Metazoa, Chordata, Mammalia, Chiroptera, Pteropodidae. The record is from Ensembl.